UGGGUAAUCUUUUGAAACUUUAUCGUGCUGGGGAUAGAGCAUUGCAAUUAUCGCUCUUCAACGAGGAAUCCCUAGUGAGCGUAAGUCAUCAGCUUGCGUUGAUUACGUCCCUGCCCUUUGUACACACCGCCCGUCGCUACUACCGAUUGAAUGGCUUAGUGAGGUCUUCGGAUCGGCGAUCGGUGAGUAGCAAUAUCCGCUGGUUGCUGAGAAGUUGAUCAAACUUGGUCAUUUAGAGGAAGUAAAAGUCGUAACAAGGUUUCCGUAGGUGAACCUGCGGAAGGAUCAUUAUAAAAUUUUCAUAUUAAUUUAUUUAAUAUAUAAAAUUAUACAAAAAUGUAUUCAAAACCCACACUCUUUAUAACCAUAAAAAAACAUUAUAUCUUUGUAUAUAAUAUAAAAAAACAACUUUCAACAACGGAUCUCUUGGCUCUCGCAUCGAUGAAGAACGCAGCGAAUUGCGAUAAGUAAUGUGAAUUGCAGAAUUACGUGAAUCAUCGAAUCUUUGAACGCAUAUUGCACUCUCUGGUAAUCCGGGGAGUAUGCCUGUUUGAGGGUCAGUAAAUAAUAAUUAUCAUAAUCUUGAUUAUGGAAUUGGGCUUCUAUUUCAUUUUAAUGAUUUAUGGCCUUAAAUUUAUGUUAUGCUUGUUUAAAUGAAAUUCGACCGAAUGGAGCAAUUAAACAUUCUCUCGUUAGGCGGAUUCAUCAAGCAAUUACGAUUUUUUGGCCGUCGAGGCACUUUUUUUUUAGAAGUGCUUGGUCGAGAUUGUAAAAGAUACAUUUAACAAUGACCUCAAAUCAGGCAAGAAUACCCGCUGAACUUAAGCAUAUCAAUAAGCGGAGGAAAAGAAACUAACAAGGAUUCCCCUAGUAACGGCGAGUGAAGAGGGAAGAGCUCAAAUUUUAAAUCUGCCUUGUUUCAAGGUCGAGUUGUAAUUUGAAGAAGCGUUUUCUUGGGCUCGCGGCCGGUAGAAGUUCUUUGGAACAGGACAUCAUAGAGGGUGACAAUCCCGUCUGCGACCGGUCGUGAGUUCAUCUACGAUAUGCUUUCAAAGAGUCGAGUUGUUUGGGAUCGCAGCUCCAAAUGGGUGGUAAACAUCACCUAAGGCUAAAUAUUGGCGAGAGACCGAUAGCGAACAAGUACCGUGAGGGAAAGAUGAAAAGAACUUUGAAAAGAGAGUUAAACAGUACGUGAAAUUGUUGAAAGGGAAACGAUUGAAGUCAGUCGUGCUGGCGCGAAAUCAACCCUCUCGUCGAGAGGUCACAUGGCGUGGCGAGCCUCAAAACCGUCACGAAGCGUGAACUCUUGGCGAAAAGGAGCACUUUCGUGUCCGCUGGUUAACAUCAAUUUCGAACGUCAUAAAAAGGCUGGAGGGAUGUGGCUCCUUCGGGAGUGUUAUAACCUUUAGCGGAAUGUGGUGGUCGGGAUUGAGGAUUGCAACGAAUACCUUUAGGGCUGUUCCACCUGGCUUCUCUUUGGUAUCCUGGUGAAGACAGCUUGCUGACUUUGUUAGGAUUCGCCUUUGAACAGGCUAGAGUGUGAGCAAAUUCGUAAGGAUG
This is a ribosomal RNA of 1560 nucleotides. The stretch from base 789 to 1560 matches the Rfam family "Eukaryotic large subunit ribosomal RNA", at positions 1 to 625 of the family's 3401-position model.